UUUUAUGGCACUUUUUAAUCCAUAUCCACCUUGUGUGCAAUGUCAGUCGUUCUCUUUUUUGAGAGCGACCAAACAUCAACUUAUUCUUUAACUCUUUGUCUGAAAAAUAUUAUGAAUAAAAUAAUUCAAAAUACAACUUUCAACAACGGAUCUCUUGGCUCUCGCAUCGAUGAAGAACGCAGCGAAAUGCGAUACGUAAUGUGAAUUGCAGAAUUCAGUGAAUCGUCGAAUCUUUGAACGCAUAUUGCGCUCUUUGGUAUUCCGAAGAGCAUGCUUGUUUGAGUAUCAGUAGACACCUCAAAGACUUCAAUUUGUUUUGAAUGGCUUUGGACUUGAGCAAUCCCAACACCAGUCUUUACGAUCGGUGGAGGGUUGCUUGAAAUGCAGGUGCAGCUGGACAUUCUCCUGAGCUAAAAGCAUAUUUAUUUAGUCCCGUCAAACGGAUUAUUACUUUUGCUGCAGCUAACAUAAAGGGAGUUUGACCGUAUUGGCUGACUGAUGCAGGAUUUCACAAGGGUCGGCAACGAUUCUUGUAAAACUCGAUCUCAAAUCAAGUAAGACUACCCGCUGAACUUAAGCAUAUCAAUAAGCGGAGGAAAAGAAACUAACAAGGAUUCCCCUAGUAAC
RNAcentral lists this ribosomal RNA (627 nucleotides) under uncultured Verticillium. RNAcentral describes it as "eukaryotic LSU rRNA". The stretch from base 135 to 288 matches the Rfam family "5.8S ribosomal RNA". The record is from RNAcentral. Lineage: Eukaryota; Fungi; Ascomycota; Sordariomycetes; Hypocreales.